UCAAAUUGUCCGACAAGUUAAUAAUAAAUUCAUAAAUAGUGAUGAACUACAUUUGAUAUUUCAACGUCAAAAGUUUUAAAAUGUUUUGAUAACAAACAUUCCUAGAAACCGCCACAUGCAUAUACAACAAUCAACAAUUCAAAAUUUAAGGUCUAUAUCUUCAUCAAUGACUCCGUCUUCCAUAUCUUCAUCUAUUCCACCUACAAAAGAGCAUAAAGUGAUAUUCGCAAAAUGGAUUAUGCUCAGACCAAAGAUAAAGAAGCUGCUCUGAGGCAGGAAGAAUCAAAGGACCAAUUAUAGUAAUAUUGAAUUUAUGUGUUCUAACCACAUGCAUUAAUAUAUACUUAGCUCUACUGCUAUCUUUUUUGUUUGACAAAAGUAUAGCAGCAACACCCAUUCUAAACAAACAAUUAGACAAAAGCAUUGCUCUUUCUAGCAAUAUUGGAAGUAAAAUCUUUGAAUUUCCACUCACCUCACUAAUUUAGAUUCACGUGAGGCAAAUCCAUCAAAUACGUUGGCUAGAUAUGCUGAAUCUAGCAAUAUUGGAAGUAGAAUCAUUGAAUCUCCAACAAGGCUAAAGAAAAAUUUUGAAGUUUUAUUCACUUUAGUGUAGGGAAAGUGGUGUUAAGUUGGAGUGGUACUUUGUAUUGGUUUGUCACCAUCCAAACUUGCACAUGUAGUUAGUCCAAGUGGUUUCAGAAGUAGAAUAUUUUACUAAUAUUUGUCGAUAUUAUAUGUAUGGUCCCCAUUUUGUUCUACUUUUCUCUAACACCCUUACAUUAAUUGAUAGUAAAGGACCAAUAUUUAUCUUCAAGCAAAUGACAGUAAACCAUCUGCAUUUCGCUCAAUUCACCAGUCACAUGGAAAAGGACAUUGGAAUGACUCCAUUUUUAUUUUUAUUGAUAUGUUCAAACAAAUGCUAUAUUUUCAGCAUUUUUCUCUUUCUCUUCAUGAGCAGGAAGGUGAAUUAAGAUUUGGAAAAUCAAUAUAUUGGAUUUCAACAUGAGUGAGAUAUUUUUAAAUUUUUUGAAUAAACUUUGACUGUACCAAUCUAUCUCACCUUGAGCUUUAGGACAGAUAAAACGAGAAUCAGACAAUAUAUAUAAAGGAAAAAAUUACUCACAAAUCAAGCUGACUUUGUGACUAUUUUUCGCUUCGACUUUUUAUUUGUACCAGUGAUGUCUCACCUAAAUUAUACUUGCAAAAUAUAUAUUUGAAAUCCUUAGGAGAUCGCUGAUGUGAAGGAUAAUGGAACUCGAAUGAACAAGCUUAGAGAAAACUGCUUGCAAAUAAUCUAGGUUUUUAUACACUCUAAACAAGAAAAACAAAAUCUAAUUGAAUGACUUGUUCAUUCCCAUGGAAAAGAUACAUCACCUGACAGAGAACUAUUAAUUAAGUAGUAGAAACAUGUAGCUAACUAGUAAAUAAGUAGAAAAUCGAUGCUAAGGUUCUUGAAAGGAGAAUGAAUUUUGAGUAAUUGAGCAAAUAAAGAGAAACUGGAACUAAGAAAUAAAAUACUACUCCAUAAAACUUACCGAGAGCGAGAGAGCCGGUAAUGACUCCUGACUCUACUGUAUGUUUGGGGUGGUGUUGGAGUGGAAAUUGGGGAGAGAGUAUAAAUUGCAAAGGUAGGGGAAAUUGGAAAGGGAGUGGAAAUUGCAGAGGUAGUGGAAAUUAGGGGAUAUUGAAAGCUUGGAGGAAGAU
Molecule: long non-coding RNA, 1704 nt
Filed under: Nicotiana benthamiana
Lineage: Eukaryota; Viridiplantae; Streptophyta; Magnoliopsida; Solanales; Solanaceae
Description: long non-coding RNA (NBEN_LNC039905)
Source: RNAcentral